Molecule: small RNA, 87 nt
Filed under: Marmota monax (woodchuck)
Lineage: Eukaryota; Metazoa; Chordata; Mammalia; Rodentia; Sciuridae
Source: RNAcentral
GCUGGGCACAGUGGUGCACACCUGUAAUCCCAGCGGCUUGGGAGGCUGAGGCAGGAGGAUUGCAAGUUCAGUGAGACCCUGUCUCUA